This 484-nucleotide ribosomal RNA is filed under the name uncultured bacterium. RNAcentral's name for it is "partial 16S ribosomal RNA". It matches the Rfam family "Bacterial small subunit ribosomal RNA", at positions 28 to 507 of the family's 1533-position model. The record is from RNAcentral.
AGUGAACGCUGGCGGCAUGCUUUACACAUGCAAGUCGAACGGCAGCGCGGUAUUCGCCCUGGUGGCGGGUGGCGGACGGGCGGGUAAUGCAUCGGAACAUGCCCAUUUGUGUUUUCUAGGGGGACGACGGCCGGAUUCAUACCGCAUUACACCUGACGACGUAAGCGGGGGAGCGGGAGACCUUCCGCUAUUGCACCGGCCGAUGUCGGAUUAGCUAGUUGGCGGGGUAAAGGCGUACCAAGGCGACGAUCCGUAGCUGGUCUGAGAGGAUGACCAGCCACACUGGGACUGAGACACGGCCCAGACUCCUACGGGAGGCAGCAGUGGGGAAUAUUGGACAAUGGGGGCAAGCCUGAUCCAGCCAUGCCGCGUGGGGGAAGAAGGCCUUCGGGUUGUAAAGCGCUUUUGUUCGGGAAGAAAUCCUGCAGGCUAAUACCCCGGUGGGAUGACGGUACCCAAAGAAUAAGCACCGGCUAACUUCGUG